GAUGUCAAAUAUGAUGGCUCAACCAUCAAGAGGCGUUGUAAAACUGUUUAUCUAGAAUACUCGGAGAGGUAAGUGGAAUUCCAUGUGUAGCGGUGGAAUGCGUAGAUAUAUGGAGGAACACCAAUGGCGAAGGCAGCUUACUGGACGAAGAUUGACGCUGAGGUGCGAAAGCGUGGGUAGCAAACAGGAUUAGAUACCCCUGGUAG
This 206-nucleotide ribosomal RNA is filed under the name uncultured bacterium. Its description in RNAcentral is "partial 16S ribosomal RNA". It matches the Rfam family "Bacterial small subunit ribosomal RNA", at positions 591 to 793 of the family's 1533-position model. The record is from RNAcentral.